UUGACCUCAGAUCAGAUAAGGAUACCCGCUGAACUUAAGCAUAUCAAUAAGCGAGGGGAAAUAA
This 64-nucleotide ribosomal RNA is filed under the name Drechslerella sp. ZY-2011a. RNAcentral describes it as "partial 28S ribosomal RNA". The record is from RNAcentral. Lineage: Eukaryota; Fungi; Ascomycota; Orbiliomycetes; Orbiliales; Orbiliaceae.